GCCGAGAUAGCUCAGUUGGGAGAGCGUCAGACUGAAGAUCUGAAGGUCGCUGGUUCAAUCCCGGCUCUCGGCA
Molecule: transfer RNA, 73 nt
Filed under: Lingula anatina
Lineage: Eukaryota; Metazoa; Brachiopoda; Lingulata; Lingulida; Lingulidae
Description: tRNA-Phe
Rfam family: tRNA
About the family: Transfer RNA (tRNA) molecules are approximately 80 nucleotides in length. Their secondary structure includes four short double-helical elements and three loops (D, anti-codon, and T loops).
Source: RNAcentral